GCUCCGGUGGCCUAGCAGUUAGAGCGUCCGCCCCGGAUGUGGGAGGUUGCGGGUUCUAACCCCUGCCGAAUCA
Non-coding RNA from Potamilus streckersoni, 73 nucleotides. The record is from the annotation of a GenBank genome assembly. Lineage: Eukaryota; Metazoa; Mollusca; Bivalvia; Unionida; Unionidae.